UACGUAGGGUCCGAGCGUUGUCCGGAGUUACUGGGCGUAAAGGGCGCGCAGGUGGCGGUGUUGGCCCGGCGUGAAAGCCCCCGGCUCAACCGGGGAGGGUCGUCGGGGACCGCACCGCUUGAGGGCGGUAGGGGCUGGUGGAAUGCCUGGUGUAGUGGUGAAAUGCGUAGAGAUCAGGCGGAACACCGGUGGCGAAGGCGACAUCCUGGACCGGUAUUGACGCUGAGGCGCGAAAGCCAGGGGAGCAAACGGG
Molecule: ribosomal RNA, 253 nt
Filed under: uncultured bacterium
Lineage: Bacteria
Description: partial 16S ribosomal RNA
Rfam family: Bacterial small subunit ribosomal RNA
Source: RNAcentral